CUGGUCUCUGCUGGAGGAUCCGGGUCUGUCCAUGGUGGACUGGUCUCUGCUGGAGCCUGAGUUAAAGGAGGUUCUGGUGGACGUGCAUCACCAGAAUCCUCCCCAGUGGCACCAGUAGAUUCUGAAUAUCUAGUCUCCUUUUCAGUCUCCUUUACUUAUGAGGUCACGUUGCCAUCAGGACGGUAUUUUGUUUUAUUUCCAUCGUCAGUUUCAGAUCCUCGGAGGAAGGAACUGCAGGUUGUGUCCUCGACGUUGCACCCAGAGGGUCAUGGGACGUGGGAUGUGUGUGGCUUUAGACUUGUGAAAUGCUGAGUGUGUUUUCGACAUCAGUGAAAACCGAGUCAAGCUUUUGUUUCCUAUUCAGAUGGGUGGAGUCAUGUGAAGGCCUCAUGACGGAUGUCUGUCAGCUUCGUUGAAAAUAUUCAGGGUGUUUUGUGUCUGAGUAGAAGUUAAUGCUCUCAGACCGACUGUAUUUCUCUCCCUCGUGUUUCAAAACCACCAGGAACAAAAGCAGACGUGGACUCCUCUAAAGUCCCCUCGGAUCCGUGGAACGUGGGAGAAGCACUGACGCUCUCGUGUUACAGGGACGCACAAAGACGGGGAGAUUAGAGGAGACAAUGCGGAUACGUCUCGCCUCAUUUAUUGGCCAUGACAUGCCUUUUAUUUUGGCGGGAUGUGUCAGACCUGUACUUAACUUACCCGGACCACUUCCUGUAUGUUGCAUAUAUACAGUGCAUAUAUUGUUAAAUAUAUAGAGAGAGAGAGACUAUAUAUGGUGGUUAAACUGCAUAUGUGCCCACGUGGAGAACACUCGUCCCUGAUUGAACUGGUUCUGGAGGGACGUUACUGUGUCGACUGCACGCUCACAAAUUGUUUUCUGGUUACUGAGCACACAUGGACACGCACACAGACACGCACACACGUGUUUCACCGUCUGUCACGAAUAAACAAUUAAACAGAGGAACCUGAGGAACAGAGGAACCUGUAGGCUGGUGUGAUUAUAGAAGAAACAACAGCUCAUCUGUUGUUGUUGUGUUUCUGUUACUUCUGUUGUUAGUUGUCACGCCUCUUUAAUUCAGUGUGCAUCAGUUCACUUUGUAAACUCUGCUUUUUAAGGCGCUAAAUAAACCAAAGCACUGCUGUUCGUUUCAAUGUCAUGCUCUCUCUCGUGGGAAUAAGAAAGCACACCUGCCCUCCCCUCCUCCCUCCUCCCUCCUCCAUCCUCCAUCCUCUCUCUCUGCCUCACCUGGAGCUCAGGUACAGCAACCAGAGAACGUGUGUGUGUGAGAGAGAGACACCUGUGAUGAUGUCACUGGCUCUAGUAAGAAACACCGACAGCGUUUCCCUCUGCAGAGACCAUGUCAAUUGUUGUUUUGCUCCCUGCUGUUUUGUUUUGAAUGAUUUUGUUUACCAUCCACACAUGAAGCAGUUAGCCGACACACUCCGAGGACACAACCACAACACGCGUUCGCUCCGAAGCGCCGUUUCACAACAUCCUCAUGAAGAGUCCAACUGCUGCUGUGUGCGUAGCUCUGGAUUCCCAGUGAGAGAACCAGAAGGACCAGUCGGGGAGGGCAAUUUGAUGACAAUAUUAGUCAUCAAAUUGUCUGCUGUUUCUUUGUCACUCAUACAACACAACAUGUGGGAAUAUGUUUUACCAACUUAAAUUAUUCCACAUGAGGCUGGAGAACAAGAUCAGCAGGUUCUCCUGAAGGGAAAAGAAACGUUGUGUCUUUGAAGCCUGUGAAGAAACAAAGAAACAAAGUGGUUUCAGGCGAUUUAACAAAGCUGCACUGCCCCUUUAAGGAGCUUCAUUUGCUUUGUCUUAAUAUUAAUAUUCUUAAUAUUCUUGACAUUCAUUGGAGCAAAGCAAAUACCCUGGUAAUUAUUUAACAAAUUCCUCUUACUUAGCGACCCAAACGUCACGCGAAACGCAGGCGUUUCCCCAGAAAGCGGCCGUGGACACAAAGGCAGCAGCUCUCACACGCAGGUGUGAUUGAAAGGUGACUCAUCACAGCAAGAGAGGCAGCAAGCGACCGCGCUUCACUCACAUCCACAAUUCCCCCGACAGGAAGUCAGUGUUUGUGGGUCUCAGUGUCUCUGCAGACGCAGUCGAAGAGGAAGAGGAAGAGGUUGUUUGUUGUAUUUGGUUGCUGCAGUAACAAAGAUGUUACUGUUAAUCUUCAUUAACAUGCAUCUCGACAAAAAAUAGGAUAUAAAAAUCUUCGUUAAUUACAAUAUUAAUGUUGAGAUUUAUGUGGAUUCAUUGUUGCCAUUGUUUACUGUUUGAAACUAUGAUUUACUCCCUCAGUAAACAUUGUAAACAUGCGUUUAUGGUCUCAAUCUCUAGUUUCAGGUAAAGCGUGAUGUUCAUUCAGUAAAUUAGGGUCCAUUUAAAGUCGAACCGAGCUGGAGAUGAGAGAGGAGCGGCUCCACCUCGACACAAACAAACGCCGCUGGAACGACAUCAAGGUCCUUCUGUUGAGAGCCACGCACACGCACACACACACACACACACACACACUCCUCAAACAUUUCACAUCAAACCACCGCCUCUAAUGGGCCAUUUCCUCUGCAGUAAACCCAGAGAGUCCCUCUACGCGCGGGUGGGUGUGGCUGAGCAGACAGAAUCAGAGCCCACAGAACAGCCGUGUUGUUCCUGAGAAGCCAUCGAGCGCCAGAGGCCGCGACCGCGCAGGAGGUCGUUCCACUGAAUAACGGCACAAUCGGGCUGCAGCCGUGGGUGCUUUUGGGACACUUGAGGUCCGUGCGUGGGACCUAACCUUGUCCCCGGCAACGGGAUUGGGUCAAGCCGAGCCUCGAGGACGGACGACGGCCCAAGUUCGUGUAAACAAAAGCUCCUCGAGCAUUCCUGCAGAAAUAUGGAGGGGAGAAAGAGCCCAGACGGAGAGGAUGCACCCGGUCGGCUGCCAUGGAGCGAAAGAUGACGCCAUAUAAGGCAGCAGGAAUCUUCCCCUUUCGCCUGCGCAAAGGCCGAACACGGGGAAGGACCUUUGUGCUUCUGUCUCUGGGCCAAGCAGAGAUUUAAAAACGCAUCUGAAACUGUAUUUGAUUUGCGUCCGUUGAAAUGUGUGGUGGAGGAAAGCAGGAGCCGCUGCUCCACAAUGAGGGUGCGUCUCUUUGUUCAUUAACGAACCAUCAGCCUCACAAUAAUCCUCUCCUGAUCAUGUUGUAGUUUUAAUUAUAGUUCUUUCCUCUCGAGGAGCGAGAGAUCCCUUUGACCAUGAAAGGAGUCGUCCUCGUCCUCGGUGAGGGUCUGAGGGACGGAGGGAGUCUCACGCCGCGAGACCGUAAGAGAGACGCUGGUGGUCGUGUGAGGACACGUCGACUCCGUGUGGCUCUGAAGAAGGAAGAGCAGCAUCGACCUGUGAACGAAGCGACGUCACUUUAGCGCCCGAGGAGCAGGUGCGUGUUCGCCGCGUCGAUGUCACAGAGACAUUAAGUCAGUCAACCCUGUGCAGGCAGCGUGAGCCCGGCGAGUGAGAAGAGACGUGAAGGACGAAAGGUGAGAAGAUGGAGAGGGUCCCCGAUAGACCAGCAUGCACUGCAGCGCCCUGCCUUUUCGCCACUGUCAUUGCUCUCUCUCUCUCUCUCUCGCGUGCAACCGGCCACCAACAUUCCCACCGAGUUGUUCUCGGCCCAGAUGCAUUCUGGGAAACCGGGGUGGGAGCCGUAAAAGCGGCGAUGAAGCAGCAGGUCUUUGCUCUGAAGGGCCGCCGAGGAAGACACGCGAGGGAUCCACGGAGCACUUCACCCUCCGGACGGUUCGAUGCCGCACAGAGCAGAACGGAGGCUUUGUGCCGCGGAGGUCGGGCUUGUGGUGACUGUUUACUCGGCCGAACACUGCCACCAUUCACCCCCCCUCCAGCGGGCCCGAGCCGCCCAGUGGUCAACUGGACACACACAUUCACAUGUCCCCGGGACGUCCCGGAGACACGGAGAACAUCUAUAUUUAUUAUUAAAGCUGCAGCAACAGGCUGAUGGUCGCUGCAAAGAGAUUUGAGCGACUGACUAUAUUCCUAAACCCACCUGUGACUCUGUGUCACAGGUGCAUGCUGGGAAAUCCUCCGUCCUACAAGUAGAACACACUCAAAGGCCCGCGUGCACGACGGAGGAAGAGGCGUAAAAGCUCCGUGAACUUUGAGAGGAAAGUAUUCUGAGAAUUAAGCUGAAAGGCCUCCUCACUCCACUUGCCAAUAAAGACCAAUAAAACAGAGUUAAUAAAAAACAAUCAUUGAAAUAUUAACAGUAGGUAAUGCAAUAAAGAGUCCCCAAUCAACCUGAUCCCCGGAGCAUGUCUCUGGACUGUGGGAGGAAGCCGGAGAACCCGGAGAGAACCCACGCAGACACGGGGAGAACAUGCACAGAAAGGCCGCUGGGCGGAGUGGAACCAGGACCUUCUUGCUGUGAGGCGCGGCGUUGACCACCACGCCGCCGUGCCGCCCUCAAACCAAAAUAUUCAAUAGGAUAAAGAUAUAUUUUGUGUUUCGUGGACUUUGCAGGAAUGUGAUCACAGGCUAAAAGCGCAGCAGCGCCGCCGUGUGGACGGAAGCGGUAUGCAGGGAUUCUGCGAUGAGUCAGCACAUCUGUAGCGCAACUCUCACAACUGCGCUCCAGCGUCAAUCAUAUGU
This is a long non-coding RNA of Gasterosteus aculeatus aculeatus (three-spined stickleback), 4652 nucleotides long. RefSeq lists it as uncharacterized. The record is from RefSeq and is a predicted model, not a curated record. Lineage: Eukaryota; Metazoa; Chordata; Actinopteri; Perciformes; Gasterosteidae.